UGCGGGGUCGUCUAUUGGUAGGACGCCUGACUCUGGAUCAGGUAGUCGGGGUUCGAGUCCCUGCCCCGCAG
RNAcentral lists this transfer RNA (71 nucleotides) under Actinomycetota bacterium. RNAcentral describes it as "tRNA-Gln". It matches the Rfam family "tRNA". Rfam says of the family: Transfer RNA (tRNA) molecules are approximately 80 nucleotides in length. Their secondary structure includes four short double-helical elements and three loops (D, anti-codon, and T loops). Further hydrogen bonds mediate the characteristic L-shaped molecular structure. tRNAs have two regions of fundamental functional importance: the anti-codon, which is responsible for specific mRNA codon recognition, and the 3' end, to which the tRNAs corresponding amino acid is attached (by aminoacyl-tRNA synthetases). tRNAs cope with the degeneracy of the genetic code in two manners: having more than one tRNA (with a specific anti-codon) for a particular amino acid; and 'wobble' base-pairing, i.e. permitting non-standard base-pairing at the 3rd anti-codon position. Lineage: Bacteria; Bacillati; Actinomycetota. The record is from RNAcentral.